GAUGAACGCUGGCGGCGUGCCUAAUACAUGCAAGUCGAGCGAACAGACGAGGAGCUUGCUCCUCUGACGUUAGCGGCGGACGGGUGAGUAACACGUGGAUAACCUACCUAUAAGACUGGGAUAGCUUCGGGAAACCGGAGCUAAUACCGGAUAAUAUAUUGAACCGCAUGGUUCAAUAGUGAAAGACGGUUUUGCUGUCACUUAUAGAUGGAUCCGCGCCGCAUUAGCUAGUUGGUAAGGUAACGGCUUACCAAGGCAACGAUGCGUAGCCGACCUGAGAGGGUGAUCGGCCACACUGGAACUGAGACACGGUCCAGACUCCUACGGGAGGCACCAGUAGGGAAUCUUCCGCAAUGGGCGAAAGCCUGACGGAGCAACGCCGCGUGAGUGAUGAAGGUCUUCGGAUCGUAAAACUCUGUUAUUAGGGAAGAACAAAUGUGUAAGUAACUAUGCACGUCUUGACGGUACCUAAUCAGAAAGCCACGGCUAACUACGUG
This 497-nucleotide ribosomal RNA is filed under the name uncultured bacterium. Its description in RNAcentral is "partial 16S ribosomal RNA". It matches the Rfam family "Bacterial small subunit ribosomal RNA", at positions 28 to 507 of the family's 1533-position model. The record is from RNAcentral.